AUUGAACGCUGGCGGCAUGCUUUACGCAUGCAAGUCGAACGGUAACAGGUUAAGCUGACGAGUGGCGAACGGGUGAGUAAUGCAUCGGAACGUGCCCGAUCGUGGGGGAUAACGCAGCGAAAGCUGCGCUAAUACCGCAUACGAUCUGAGGAUGAAAGCGGGGGACCGUAAGGCCUCGCGCGAUCGGAGCGGCCGAUGUCAGAUUAGGUAGUUGGUGGGGUAAAGGCCCACCAAGCCGACGAUCUGUAGCUGGUCUGAGAGGACGACCAGCCACGCUGGGACUGAGACACGGCCCAGACUCCUACGGGAGGCAGCAGUGGGGAAUUUUGGACAAUGGGCGAAAGCCUGAUCCAGCAAUGCCGCGUGCAGGAAGAAGGCCCUCGGGUUGUAAACUGCUUUUGUACGGAGCGAAAAGGUCCUUUCUAAUACAGGGGGCUCAUGACGGUACCGUAAGAAUAAGCACCGGCUAACUACGUGCCAGCCGCCGCGGUAA
RNAcentral lists this ribosomal RNA (493 nucleotides) under uncultured bacterium. RNAcentral's name for it is "partial 16S ribosomal RNA". It matches the Rfam family "Bacterial small subunit ribosomal RNA", at positions 29 to 523 of the family's 1533-position model. The record is from RNAcentral.